GACGAACGCUGGCGGCGUGCUUAACACAUGCAAGUCGAACGGAAACUCCCUGCUUUUUUGCGGUCCUCGACUUGCGAACUGGUGAGUAACACGUGAGUAACCUGCCCUUGCCUUUGGGAUAUCUUCAUGAAACUGGAGCUAUUAGCGGCUAGGAUCUCUUGCUGCUGGGUGGGGCUUGGAUAGUUUCGGUGGUUGGUGAUGUACUCGCGGCUUAUCAGCUUGUUGGUGGGGUAGUGGCUUACCAAGGCUUUGACGGGUAGCCGGCCUGGGAGGGUGACCGGCCACAUUGGGACUGAGAUACGGCCCAGACUCCUACGGGAGGCAGCAGUGGGGAAUAUUGCACAAUGGGCGGAAGCCUGAUGCAGCAACGCCGCGUGCGGGAUGACGGCCUUCGGGUUGUAAACCGCUUUCGCCUGUGACGAAGCGUGAGUGACGGUAAUGGGUAAAGAAGCACCGGCUAACUACGUG
RNAcentral lists this ribosomal RNA (468 nucleotides) under uncultured bacterium. RNAcentral's name for it is "partial 16S ribosomal RNA". It matches the Rfam family "Bacterial small subunit ribosomal RNA", at positions 28 to 507 of the family's 1533-position model. The record is from RNAcentral.